GGCGCCUCGGAGCCUCUUUCCCUGAGGCUUCCAGCCGCGACUAGGGACCCGCUCCUCUCGUGACUCUCUGUUUCCGUGCACAUCUCACCCGCGCCGCCUGGAGGGCUUGAGUUUCGAGCCCGGCCGGACCAGGCGGUUUGGGGUGGAAAUUUGCAGCCAAGGGAUGAGCGCUAGACAACCCGCUAACGGUGACAGCUUGGCUGCAGGCUUCCCGGUGGAGAUAGUCGGAAGAGUCCACAUGCGCUGUCUGGUCCCGCUGAAGAGCUUCUAACACCCGUAGCGACCUACAGCUCCGCAGUCAGUGCCAGUGUUUGCUCCUGUCCAAAUUAAGUACGUGCAGGUUUCCAGAGUAGCUGCGUGAAGCCCAGUUCCCCCAGACAUAUGUUCUACAGUAUGGACAGUCCUCCUGCAGGUCAGCGGACUCUGUAAGGCAUGGAAUGCUUCAUUCUUUCUUUUACACUGUGUCUACCAAGGGCAGCUUAUAUAAAGAUAAUAUCUCCUGAGUAUGACCGAUGAGAUAGUAAAAGGAUGGAAAGAGUCUUGGGUGACUUCAGAGUUGAAAAAGUAAAUACAAUUAAAAUUUUAAGUUCAUGCAUACCUAAUGAUAAAUAUAUAAAGUGAAACUUGACCGAAUGACAAAGAAAAAGCUAUAGUCCUAUUAGGUUACUUUAAUAAGCCUUUCUCAGUGAUUUUUAAGACAAACAAAAGAAAAAUCAAUAAGGAUAUAGAAGAUGUGAAUAACAUUAUUAAUAAACUUGACCUCAUACACAGAACAUUACCAAAAUUAGAAUGUACAUUUUUUUGGAACGCAAAGAUGGCAUCAUCCCGCAAUCAACCACAGACUUAGCUGUAAAGCAACCCACAACAAAUUUUAAAGAUUGAAAUCAUUCAGCACAUGUUUUUUGACCAUUAUGCAAUUAAGCUAAAAAUCAAUAAAGAAUUAUAACAAAUCCAUAUAAACCCUUGUCAGAGAAGGAGUCGUAAUGAUAGAAUAUAUGUUGAGCUGAACAAUAAAAUAAUAGCAGUGCCUGUGUGAUGCAGCUAAAACAGGGCUUAGAGGAAAAAUUAUAGUCCAAAAUAUAUAAGAAAGAGGCUAAAAAGUCUUUAGCUUAAAUAUCCAUUUUCAAGAGUCAGAAAAAGGAGAACAAGGUAAAGGAAGUAAAAUGACAGAAAUAAUUAAGAGCAGGAAUGAAUGAAAUGGGAAUCAAAAGUAAUGUGCCAGAGACUGUACUGAUACAGGAGAACCGAUUAGGCAUACCUCUCCCCUACUCCAUGGCCACUAAUCUCAAAUUAGUGGCUUGAAAUUGUCCAUGAUGAUAGUAUUCACUCCAUGGAAAUAAAAAAACAGGCUGGUGUUUUGUUAUCUUUGGAGCCAAUCUACUAGAGAACCACUGCAUACAAUGGAUUAAAAAUCCAAAAGUUGAUUUUUUUUAAGAAAAGAUGAAGACAAUUGAUAAAUAUCUGUUAGUAUUGAAAAAUACAAGGAGAGAUGUUAACCUAUAUUAGUAAUCAAAACUAUAUAUUUCAAAAAAGUUAUGACAUCUUACAAACAAUUCAGUGCAAAUAAAAUUUAGGUAAAUGCACAAAUUUCAAGGAAAACACAACUGGCAGACUCAAGAAUAGAAAAUAUGAACCUUCCAAACCGUAUUUUAAAUCAGUAGUAAAGACUCUUCCCACACAAAUUCCAGGUCCACGGCUCCACGGGUAAGUUCUUCUAACCUUUGAAAUAAUUCUGUCCUUAUGUAUGAGGCCUCCAUAACUUCUGUACUAAUUACAAAAACCCCACACUUACGAAACACCAAACUCUUUGGAACUCAUUAGGUGGAAAAUGUGAUUUAGUGUCAUGAAGUUCUUUAUAGUCAUCAUUUAUAUAUUACUUAGGUGACUAUGUAUGUUUUGCUGCAGAAAUAAUAAUGUAUGAAUAUUGGUUUUUGAGUAGAGCUGCUCUUCCAGUUCUUGUUGAGAGUGUUACAAAAAUAUACUGUAUGUGUUCCAUUGUGCCUUCCCAAUGUCUGAAAAAGUCUGUAUUCCAAAACACAUCUGGCUGCAAGAAUUUCAUAUAAAAUGCGUCGACCUACAGAAGAAUCUUUUUAAGACUUUGGGGUCAAGAACAAUUUUUUUUUUUUUUAGCCAUAAAGGAAAUGAUCAAUGAAUCCAACUACAUUAAAAUUUUUGUUUUACCAAAUAAAAUUUUUGUUUACCAAAACAAAAUACUUUUGUUUACCAAACAAUACCAUAAGGUGAGGAGAAAAGACAAAACCACAAUGUGGGAGAAGUUUGUAAAACAAAGAAUUGGUACCCAGAAUAUAUAAAGAACACUUAGGAAUCAAUAAGAACAGGACAAUGUAGUUUUUUAAAUAAGCAAAAGGCUUAAAUAGGCACAGCACCAAAGAGGAGAUACAAAUGAGCAGUGUAAGAAAAUAUCUACGUCCUUGUUAGGAACCACGAACAUGAGCCAGCAGAUCCCAAUGCAACACCAUUAGACACGAACGAGACCCAAGAAUAAUUAUAAAAAAUCUGUCAGUAACAAGUUUGAGAAGGAUAAAGCAAGAAGCUUCCUCACACACAGAAGAUAGUAUAAGUUGAUACAAUCACUUUGGAUUAUCACUUUGUGGCAUUAUCUAGUAAAGUUAACCAUACAACACAUUCAGGAUGACUCAGGAAUUCUACUCUACAGCAUCACUUAGCCAUGUGCGUCUUUGUUAUAGUUAAAAACAACAUACCACUUAAACUUACACCAACAAUAGAAUGAAUAAAUUAUGGCAUGGUCACAUGAGGAAAUAGGUUGCAGCAAUGAAAGGAGUAUUUAUAGCUAUCCACAAUAACAUGAUGUAUCCUGUAUUAAAUAAAAGAAGUAAGUCAACCAAAGAAUAGAUACAUGGCAAAACUCAGCUGUCCUGUUUAGGAUACAUUCCUCCAUAGUAUUAACAAAAGAAAAAUGGGAUGUGAUCAGGGAGAGGUGAAUAGGGACCUUCUGAGUUGUUGAUAAAAUUUUAUUUCUGGACUUUGAUGUUAAACAAUUAUUCUGUAAAUAAACUGUACAAGAA
Molecule: long non-coding RNA, 3047 nt
Organism: Neogale vison (American mink)
Lineage: Eukaryota; Metazoa; Chordata; Mammalia; Carnivora; Mustelidae
Exons: 2
Source: RefSeq, a predicted model, not a curated record